This 354-nucleotide long non-coding RNA is filed under the name Bos taurus (domestic cattle). RNAcentral's name for it is "long non-coding RNA NONBTAT023405". The record is from RNAcentral. Lineage: Eukaryota; Metazoa; Chordata; Mammalia; Artiodactyla; Bovidae.
ACCAGGCAUGUGAUAUGGUGAUAGAGGUUUUUAGAAGAACUUGACCAAUCUGUUCUGCUGGCCUGGCACUUGCUUAAGGUUUUUGCUUUAAAAUAUUAUUUCUUCACUCAAAUCUAGUGUUAAAUUCUGUUUUUCCAGAUAGGUUAACAUGACUUGAUUUUUCAGGUUGAUUUUUAACUAAAGACCAGUGUGAAGUUAGACCACACUAGAGGUGUUUGACUUAAGAUGGCCACACUUGAGGUGCUUAUCUAAGAUAGGGAAGUACAAAGAGAAAUCAGUCAGAGGGUAUCUAUGGGGUGUCUGUGGUGGAGUGGGAAGGAGAAUAAGGAUGGGGUGGAGUUAGGGUAGUUACUU